This 220-nucleotide long non-coding RNA is filed under the name Salvator merianae (Argentine black and white tegu). Its description in RNAcentral is "lncRNA (ENSSMRG00000018345.1)". Lineage: Eukaryota; Metazoa; Chordata; Lepidosauria; Squamata; Teiidae. The record is from RNAcentral.
CUAUAUGAAAUAUUAUUAUUACAAGUUUUGGAGUUUGGGAAGUUAACUUAAAAAAAACCAGUUUGAGCAAGGAGUGAGACUGUGUCUUAACAUGGGCACUUAAAGACUGGAUAUUUGGCCCCAACCCUGAUGAUAACAGCAACAAGAGUGAUGUGAACUGCAUCAGCAAUAACAUGAGUGAGAUGGGUGAAAUUCAAGGAACACACCAGCACCACCAGCA